RNAcentral lists this long non-coding RNA (585 nucleotides) under Vigna radiata. RNAcentral's name for it is "long non-coding RNA (VRAD_LNC012128)". Lineage: Eukaryota; Viridiplantae; Streptophyta; Magnoliopsida; Fabales; Fabaceae. The record is from RNAcentral.
CAAGAGUAAGGACAUGUGAAGGUGGGAAAUUAGGUGGUACAAUGGGUACAUGAAUCUGCUUCCCAUAUCCUAGGUUGAUGACACUGUUAAAUUACCUUUUAGUCGCCUAAGACAGAACAAAUUUGGUCCCCACUAAUGUAGCAUAGGGAUGACCAAAUUAUCAAUCAUAGGACUCAAGUUAUUAAGUUUUUUAGAAUGUAAAGUCAGAUCUUGAGUUAUUUAUCUACUAAUUAUAUACUAAUGCAGGUGGGGACAUCAAAUGAAGAAACUAAAAAGGAAAUAGAAAAUCUAAAAUCUAUAAGUUGUUUAAAAGAAGAAAGAAAUUGAAAUGAAAUGAAAGACAAGAAAAUAGAACUCUAAACUACUUAUAACAACAACAGAACCUAAACUAAAUUGAGAAGUCAAUGCAACUAAAAUGAUUUAAAAUCCAAAAAUGUAAUGUAUAGAAAUGAUCAAAUUAACACAAAAUUUCCAAAGAAUAAAAGUCACAUAACAGAACCUAAAUAGAAGAAAAUAUAAAAUCAUAAUAUGAACUAAAGACUAUUCUAACAUCAAUUCAACAGAAAUACUAAAAAUAAAGAAGCA